Molecule: non-coding RNA, 3595 nt
Organism: Cicer arietinum (chickpea)
Lineage: Eukaryota; Viridiplantae; Streptophyta; Magnoliopsida; Fabales; Fabaceae
Source: RefSeq, a predicted model, not a curated record
UUAUAUUUGAACGGACACUAUCUAAAUAAGUGUUACGUUUUAAAUCGUAAUUUCUAUAUCAAUAUUUACAUGUCCUUUUGAAGUUGCUUUUGCCAAAAGGUUUGCCUUAAUUUAAUUUGAAAUUUGACUCUUGGCCCAAAAAAAGGACAUCUUCUUUCCAUAUACAUAGAGAAUACUACUUUAUUAUUUAGCAAUAUUGCAUUGUUGUAAUACUACAAGAAGUGACAUGGGUUACUCAAAACAUGCAAGUUACUUUUAUAAAAAAGGAUUAGGCAGAGUAAGGUUGAAUAAUAAAUAAAUAAAUAAAUAAAUAAAUAAAUAAGAUGCGAAAAAUAGAAGAAGAUAAAGGAGACGUAUAUUUUUAUAAUAGUUCACAACAAAUUGUUCCUAUUUCUAUUUCUCCCUUUCAAAAAGAUUUUACCUCAGUAAAGUCGAGGACUUAAUCCAUUAUUUCCAUAUAUAGCAUAAAGGUAUUCUUUACUCUGCCUUUUUAGGCUUUUAGUAUUUUUCUCUAGCCUCUCCAGAUUGUCUUCAUCAAAACCUUCUUCAACUUAUGGCAUCUUGCCAUUGAGGUUCACGAGAGUCGUGGUACCUUUUCACGUACCUCUUAGGGGUGAGAAGGUUGUUGUCACUAUCGGGCUAAUUUACAUCAGUUUUAGUUUGUGUCUGAUUUGACACAAAGUUUGUUUUUCGGAUUCUAACUCUCAUUGAGAGUAUGUUAUAGAUCAAGUCAUUUAUCAGUACAAGUGUGAGAGAACUAGAUAUAUGAACAAGUAGUAGAUUCAAGAUGUUGAUCAAAGGAAGCACAAUUGCUUCGACUUCUUUUGAAUGUUGAAUUUCAUCAUAGCGUUUACUUCUUUUAUAUCAUUGAUUUCCUUCAGUGCAUACGACAUAAGUUAGAGUUAUAUGAUCAGAAACUUGAAAUGAUUAUCAGUGGCAGAGAAUCACUCGUUUGUCAAGCUUAUUAAAGGCAAUUGAUUACUUGCUUUAUCAAUCGUAUCAGAGGUAGACGAGCUGAGAAUAACUGAAACAUAAUGUAUCAUGUAUUUUUAGAGUCACUAGAACUAGAACAUUGCUUGCGUUAUAAGAGUCAGUCAAAACGCAAUAUUGCUUUGCGUCGUUGGAAGCGUGUGUUACAACACUUGCGUCAAAAUCAAACAAAUUGAAUGAAGUAGAGUCUUGUUGUUCCUUUGUCUUCGUCCAAUCACCAGAGGAUAUAACUUAAAUCAAGGUAACAUUUGACUUUGAACUAAUACUUGCAAUAUUACAUCUUCCUCCCAUAGUAGACAUAGUUACUUGUAUAUUAGGAUAUAAUAGUCUGUAUAUAAGAAACAUUUAGAUUAUUGUCUCUAUUUUACUUGGAUCUUUUGCUACUCUAAGAUGAAUAGUCAUUAAUAUAACUCUUUGUGUUCUAACUUAAUAUGCACACUUUGCAAAUACAGAUGCAUUAUGAUUAUUCUUUAUUUGUUUGUUUUUGUUAUCUUAAAACAUCUACCAGAGGAUUGUACCAAAAACCCAUUUUGGACUAACACACCCUAUAAAAGUUUCUAACUCAUAUUUUAAGCUCACUAACUUUUAAGUGUUCUCGUUAGUCAAUUAUUAAACAAAGGGCUUCAGUCACAUGUAGUAAGUCUUAAGAUGAUUUGUGGGAAAUACGAAUUUUCCGUUCCAUUGACUUAUUUUAAACUCAUGAAUUCAAACUCACGCUCACAUCAUACAUUAAUUGACACUUUCAUAAAAUAUGUGAAUCACCAAAAGUUCCAAGCAACGCCAGCCCUACAACGUGCAAUAGAUGUGUCUGAAUGUCUCUGAAAUCAGCGAAGAAUUCAUAGGAUCACAAAAAUCGGUCUGGUAAAUCAAGCGGAGCAUAAAAUCAAAGUUACAUAAUUAACUAAAAAUUUAGCAGUAAGAACGAAGAUAAAAACGACACCAAAUCGAUAGUUAGAUAUAGUAUCACUGACGCGUCGAGGCACUGACAAGAUCUGACGUCAACUUUAUCAAAAUAUGCGAAUCAGUAGAGCUUCUUAAAAGUUUCGACGAGAGGAAUCUAACAAUAUCAUUUUUUCCAAUGAUGAAUACGGAGGUCGAAAAAGGAAAAUAUAGUCCGUCUAAAUAAGAAAAUGUGAUUGUUUCUUAAAAGAGAAUAUGAGUAAAGCUUCUUCAAAGUUUCAAUGAGAAUAAUCAAAAAACGAUGUCCAUUUUUUUCAAUGAUCAACACGGAGGCCGAAUAAGGAAAAUACAGUCUGUCCAUAUUUACAAAGAUUAUUUUUUAGACAAUAAAAGAGAAUAUGCAAUCGAAACUAUAUUAUAUUAUUUUUACCCAAGGACAAGAAAACUUGCUUGAUUGGAGAAUUUUUUUUUUUUGGUGUUUUUUUUAUUCCUAAAUUAAAUUUAAGUCCCCAUCUUUUUGUUUCUUUAAUAAAAUUUUAACUUAAUUGAAAACAAAAACAAAAAAAAUUCAUAGCUGAAUUAAAAAAAUUAAAUUUGAACGGACACUAUCUAAAUAAGUGUUACGUUUUAAAUCGUAAUUUCUAUAUCAAUAUUUACAUGUCCUUUUGAAGUUGCUUUUGCCAAAAGGUUUGCCUUAAUUUAAUUUGAAAUUUGACUCUUGGCCCAAAAAAAGGACAUCUUCUUUCCAUAUACAUAGAGAAUACUACUUUAUUAUUUGGCAACAUUGCAUUGUAAUCCUCCAAAGAAGUGACAUGGCUUACUCAAAUUCAUAUAUGUUUCUUGGUUUGGGAUUUUUUAUUAUUCUCUCUUCUCAAGUUCUAGAUCAAGUUCCUCUUCUUCCUCCUCCACCUCCACCUCCACCUCCACCUCCUCCUCCUACAAUUAUUUAUAUUUGAUACAAGGGAUGCUUUUGUGAAUUGGACAAAAGAAAUCGGGAAUGUUAUUGUUAUUAUCAGAAGAUCAGAUAUAGAGACGGGAAUGAAAGGAAGGAGAAAUAAAUUAACAUUAAGUUGUGACAAAGGGAGAAAAUACAAGUGUGUUGCUAGUUCAACUCGAAGUUCAACAAAAAAGUGUGAUUGUCCUUUCCAGCUUAGAUCAAAACCAUUAAAAGAUGGUUCAAGAUGGAUAGUUAAAGUAAUUUGUGGAAUUUACAGCCAUGAAUUAUCUGAUACUUUGGAGGGGCAUGCAUAUGUGGGACGCUUAGAUGAAGAAGAAAGAAAGCAUGUUCAUGACUUAACAAAAUAUAAUGGUGCACCGAGACACAUAUUACUCUCAUUGCAAGACCGAGAUAAGAGUAAUGUUACUAAAGUAUCACAAAUAUAUAAACGGAGGAGUAUGAUUCGAUUGCACGUGAGAGGUAAUAGAACAAAGAUGCAACAUUUAUUCACGUUAAUUGAAGAUGAAAAAUAUGUGUGUUGGAAUAGAAAGUGUGAAGACUCUGAUGUUAUGAGAGAUAUUUUUUUGGGCGCAUCCUGAUUCAGUGAAGACUCGGAUGUUAUGAGAGAUAUUUUUUACUCUUACACGGUAAAGUUCUAAAUCAAGAGACCGAGCUCUGAUACCAAUUUAAGUAGUUGGAAAAUACAAGACACAGGAGUUUGAAUUGUGUUUGCCCUUUUUGAAGGCUAUUUAGAUUUCCUUACACAAA